GAUGAACGCUGGCGGCGUGCCUAAUACAUGCAAGUCGAGCGAACGGACGAGAAGCUUGCUUCUCUGAUGUUAGCGGCGGACGGGUGAGUAACACGUGGAUAACCUACCUAUAAGACUGGGAUAACUUCGGGAAACCGGAGCUAAUACCGGAUAAUAUUUUGAACCGCAUGGUUCAAAAGUGAAAGACGGUCUUGCUGUCACUUAUAGAUGGAUCCGCGCUGCAUUAGCUAGUUGGUAAGGUAACGGCUUACCAAGGCAACGAUGCAUAGCCGACCUGAGAGGGUGAUCGGCCACACUGGAACUGAGACACGGUCCAGACUCCUACGGGAGGCAGCAGUAGGGAAUCUUCCGCAAUGGGCGAAAGCCUGACGGAGCAACGCCGCGUGAGUGAUGAAGGUCUUCGGAUCGUAAAACUCUGUUAUUAGGGAAGAACAAAUGUGUAAGUAACUAUGCACGUCUUGACGGUACCUAAUCAGAAAGCCACGGCUAACUACGUGCCAGCAGCCGCGGUAAUACGUAGGUGGCAAGCGUUAUCCGGAAUUAUUGGGCGUAAAGCGCGCGUAGGCGGUUUUUUAAGUCUGAUGUGAAAGCCCACGGCUCAACCGUGGAGGGUCAUUGGAAACUGGAAAACUUGAGUGCAGAAGAGGAAAGUGGAAUUCCAUGUGUAGCGGUGAAAUGCGCAGAGAUAUGGAGGAACACCAGUGGCGAAGGCGACUUUCUGGUCUGUAACUGACGCUGAUGUGCGAAAGCGUGGGGAUCAAACAGGAUUAGAUACCCUGGUAGUCCACGCCGUAAACGAUGAGUGCUAAGUGUUAGGGGGUUUCCGCCCCUUAGUGCUGCAGCUAACACAUUAAGCACUCCGCCUGGGGAGUACGACCGCAAGGUUGAAACUCAAAGGAAUUGACGGGGACCCGCACAAGCGGUGGAGCAUGUGGUUUAAUUCGAAGCAACGCGAAGAACCUUACCAAAUCUUGACAUCCUCUGACCCCUCUAGAGAUAGAGUUUUCCCCUUCGGGGGACAGAGUGACAGGUGGUGCAUGGUUGUCGUCAGCUCGUGUCGUGAGAUGUUGGGUUAAGUCCCGCAACGAGCGCAACCCUUAAGCUUAGUUGCCAUCAUUAAGUUGGGCACUCUAAGUUGACUGCCGGUGACAAACCGGAGGAAGGUGGGGAUGACGUCAAAUCAUCAUGCCCCUUAUGAUUUGGGCUACACACGUGCUACAAUGGACAAUACAAAGGGCAGCGAAACCGCGAGGUCAAGCAAAUCCCAUAAAGUUGUUCUCAGUUCGGAUUGUAGUCUGCAACUCGACUAUAUGAAGCUGGAAUCGCUAGUAAUCGUAGAUCAGCAUGCUACGGUGAAUACGUUCCCGGGUCU
Molecule: ribosomal RNA, 1372 nt
Filed under: uncultured bacterium
Lineage: Bacteria
Description: bacterial SSU rRNA
Rfam family: Bacterial small subunit ribosomal RNA
Source: RNAcentral